UAAUAUAGGCAAUAAGUGUAUUAAAUUUAGUAUUUAAUAAAAUUAGUAUUUUAUAUGUGAAGAAAUUAAAAUCCUUUAAACCAAAACCUAUACAAUCGCAAUUUUACGAUUCGUAAUAUUCUAUUACGUAUAUUUAAGACUAUCUCAAGACAAACUUCGUGCCUAUAUGCAUUCAGCACUUAUUUACCACUAACGUAGCUUUAUUGCUAUGCUUACUCUCCAGAUAUAAAAGUAAUAUUAAUAUAUGGGAACCUGCGGUACUCUUAGAGGCCUUCAACGAGCCAUCCCCGGGAUCUAUUAUCAGGCCUUAAUUACCCUAAACAACAAAUAAACCAGAGGUUACCAUACCCAACUCCUUUCGUACGAAGGGGCUAUCCUUGUUUUACUCUAAUUACUUCUAGAAGAUAGAAACCAUACUGUCUCACGACGUAUUUAACCCAGCUCGUGUAGCUCUUUAACCGACGAACAGUCGUACCCUUCAUGAUUCCUGCGUUCAUGUGGAUGAGCUAAGCCGACAUCGAGGUGCCAAACUGCGCACUCAAUUUGUACUCUCUGGCGCAAUUAGCCUGUUAUCCCUAGCGUAGCUUUUUUCAAAAAUCCAAGACCUUUCCUUUCUGCAUCUUGUGAUCGUAUGCCCCGCUUACGCGACUGAUAGACAUGUAAGUCAAACAAUAAAGCAAGGUUAAGCCAUUAAACUUUAACAGUAAAUAUUAAAAAUCAUCUUUUUUAUCUCUAAUUGAUAAUAAAGACAAGUUAAACAUCUAUUUUCCAUAUAGUUAAAACCUUACUUAAAAAAAUUAUAAUUAAUCUAACUUAAUAGAAAUAUAAGUGAAUAAAUCAUAAAAUAAUCUAUUACAAAGUAAAAAUAAUGUUUUAUAUAUAAUAGUUAUAAACAUAAUAAAAACAAAAUCAUUUAUAAACUUUAAUGAAUUUACAAUUUUAACUUUGGAUACACCCAGGUACUUUUUAUGGGAUCUGUGCCCCGCAUAAACUGUCCACUAGCAAAUGUCUCAUUUAUAAAAGUCAUAUUUAUUACAUAAACCUUUAUCAUUAACCUUUCAGAUAAGCAUAUGGAUAAUAAAUUAAUAUUACUUAAAAUUUGUAUAGUACCUUUCUCUGAAGUUGUCCGUGAAAAAUAAUUACUUCACUAUUAUAUUUUAAAAACUGUUUAUUACCUUUCGGUAGUAAUCUUAUGUUAUAUUAUUUUAUAUUGCAUUAGGCUUAUAUUAUAUUAUGUUAUAUUAUUUUAUAUUAGGUUAAGCUUAUAUUAUAUUAUGUUAUAUUAUGUUAUGUUAUAAUAUUUUAUACUAUGUUAUAUUAUGUUAUGUUAUAAUAUUUUAUAUUAUGUUAUGUUAUAUUAUUUUAUAUUGGGUCACGGUUAUGUUAUGUUAUAUUAUAUUAUGUUAUAUUAUUUUAUAUUAUAACAUAUUAUGUUAUAUUAUUUUAUGUUGCGUUAGGGUUAUGUUAUAUUAUGUUAUAAUAUCUUAUAUUAUGUUAUGUUACAUUAUGUUAUGUUAUGUUACAUUCUUACAUAAUGUUAUGUUACAUUCUUACAUUAUGUUAUGUUAUUUUAUAUUAUGUUAUAUAUGUUAUAUGUAUUUAUAAAGCUGUUUAUUCCCUUUCCUUAAUAAACAAUAGUCCAGUACUAAUCAACUAUAAGGAUAUACAUUAGUCCAAUAAUAUAAUAAACUAAGUAAAGGUAUUUCACUCUCAUCUUAUAAAUAACCUUAUAUACUACAACUUGUAUUAUUAUAUUCAGUAACUAGUAACAGUAAAGCUGCAUAGGGUCUUCUCGUCUAACUAGAAGAAAACUGUAUCUGCACAGUUAUUACAAUUUCACUGAGACAAUCAUUGAGACAGCUGUUGUAUCGUUAAAUCAUUCAUGCAAGACCGCAUUUAACGGCCAGGGUAUUCCGCUACCUUAGGACCCUCAUCGGUAAGGCCGCCAUUGAUUGGGGGUUCCUUCAAAACCUAGCUUACUGUUAUUUAACUAAGAAAAUUCGUUAACCAGCCAAUAUUGGGCAGAAAUCACACUCAAUACUUUGAUUUAUUAUCUUAUGCAAAGUGCUUUGUUUUAAUUAAACAGUCGUACAACACCAUUUUAUGUCUCCUUUUAUUACUUAAUAAUAAUGGUACACCUUAUCCCGAAGUUACGGAGUCAAUUUGCCGAGUUCCUUAAUGAUUGUUAUCUCAAACGCCUUUGUAUUCUCUACUUGCUUACUUGAGGUAGUUUAUAGGUACGGUCAAUAUAAUUUAUAAAAAAAAAAAAAUCAGCACAUAUCUUUUCCAGAACAUUUAUUACCUUUUUAUUUAAUAUAAACUUAUAUUUAUUAACAUAACAAUUAUUAAAUAAAUAAUUAUUCGAAUGUAGUAAAUACUUAUAAAUGUUAAAUAUACGCGAGAUUCACCCAUGAUUUAAUCCUUUAGGUAAGGUUUAUAAAAUUAGGGGCCGUUACUUUAACUCUAGGUUCAGAUUCCAUAAGCUUAAGGCGAGGGGUUACCCUUUUUCGUUACUCAUGUCAGCAUUAUCACUUGGGAUAGUUACCAUAAAUUUAUAUGAAGGAUAUAAAUUCUAAGAAUUAACCCAACGUUCCGCUACCCCAUAAAUAUAACUAUAAAUGAUUUUAAGAAUAGCAAUAUAUUUAUAUAAAUGUAUAUUUUUAUUUACAUUACUUUCUUUUUGCAAUAGUGAUUACAGUUUUAAUUAUGUACAAGGUUUCGGUACACUGUUUCAGAUCCGUUAUAUUUUCGGUGCGUUUAACUUUUAUAAUAAACCAGUGCUCUGUUACGAGAUCUUUAAAAAAUGGCCGCUUCUAAGCCUAUUUACUGGUUGUAUUUGAAAAGAACUUCCUUAAUUUCACUUAACAAUAAUUUUGGAACCUUUAACUCUUGUUCUGGGCUGUUUCCCUUUAGACAUACAACCUUAUCGUACUAUGUCCGACAGUUUAAUAUUCAUUGUUGCCCUUCCGAGAGCAAAUCCUCACUGAUAAAAUCUUCACGAUCCCCCAAUGUAUACAAAGAGAUUUUGCAUGUUUAAACAAUGCUUUUAAUCAAAAUUUGUCUGAGAUAACAAUUCUGUACCUGCAACGAUGUAAUUAUAAUUUUUCAUUUUUUAUUAAAUAAAUAUCAGUAAGUAUAGUACUCCACCAAAAAAAUAUUUAAUUAAAGUAAAUUGAAGACUAGAUAAACGAUGGUAAGAUGUUUAUAAAAUAUAUUUUUUUAUACAAUUAUUAUCUAAGUGUACCCAUAAAAUAGACUGACUAUUAAUAUAUAUUAUAUAUAAAUAUAUAAGGAAUGUAUUUAAUAUAAGAUUACAAGAAUAUGAUCCUACAAAUAUAACAGACAUAUAAAAUUGUGAAAGCUAACUGGUUUAAACGUAUUUUUUAUAUAAUAACUGUUUUCAACGCACUUUAUCGAAUACAAUUAAAUUAUAUAUUUUUUUUUUUAAUUACCAAAAUUAAUUAUAGCAAAAGAAAUUAUAACAAUAUAAAUUAUUUUCUUUUUUUCCAUGAGGACAAAGUAAAUUAUAAAUUUUCUUUAUAAAUCACCAAAAUUAAUUAUAGCAAAAGAAAUUAUAACAAUAUAAAUUAUUUUCUUUUUUUCCAUGAGGACAAAAUAAAUUAUUAUAAUAGAAAUUAUCUUUUUUCAUUAAAGAAAUUCUUUAUAAAAAAAACCUAUUACAAAAAGAAUUAUAUCAAAGUAAAAAUUUUUAACAGUCAUAACUUAGAUUACUCCUAUGUUUAGGUAAUACUUCUCCAUAACAAGUGUAUAAAGGCAAAUUUUAUUAACUGUGAGAUGAUGAUUAUAAAUCACAUUCACUUAAUCUUUUUUCAUAUAUAUUAUUUUUAAUAAAAAAAAAGUAUAUAAGUUUAUACAUUUCUAAAAAACGGCUAUAUGCAUACUAUCUUUCUAGAUUUAUAAUAAACUUAACGGUCAUAAAAGCAAAUUUUAUUAACUGUGAGAUGAUGAAUAUAAAUCACAUUCACUUAAUCUUUUUUCAUAUAUAUUAUUUUUAAUAAAAAAAAAGUAUAUAACUUUAUACAUUUCUAAAAAACGGCUAUAUGCAUACUAUCUUUCUAGAUUUAUAAUAAACUUAACGGUCAUAAAGGCAAAUUUUAUUAACUGUGAGAUGAUGAAUAUAAAUCACAUUCACUUAAUCUUUUUUCAUAUAUAUUAUUUUUAUAAUAAAAAAAAAGUAUAUAAUUUUAUACAUUUCUAAAAAACUUAACGGCUAUAUGCAUACUAUCUUUCUAGAUUUAUAAUAAACUUAACGGUCAUAAAGGCAAAUUUUAUUAACUGUGAGAUGAUGAAUAUAAAUCACAUUCACUUAAUCUUUUUUCAUAUAUAUUAUUUUUAUAAUAAAAAAAAAGUAUAUAACUUUAUACAUUUCUAAAAAACUUAACGGCUAUAUGCAUACUAUCUUUCUACAUUUCUAAUAAACUUAACCUAAUGGCUAUAUCCCUCCCUAUAGUGUUUUUAUAAAUAUAAUAUGAAUAUUGUCCAUUUUACGUCUUUUUAGAGAUAUAAUAUUACCCAUUAUACGUUUUUUUUAUUAAUAUAAUAUUACUAAUGUUAUAGAAUGACAAGGCAACGGUUUAUGUAUAUUAUACGACUUAUAUGGAAAUUGAGAAGUUAAUUAUUGGCUGUAUAUUAGUUCUAAUAAUUAAAAAGCUGAUUAUUAGCUGUAUAUUUUACGACUUAUACGAAAAUUUAGAAGUUAAUUAUUGGCUGUAUAUUAGUUCUAAUAAUUAAAAAGCUGAUUAUUAGCUGUAUAUUUUAUCUAGUAAUUAAAAAGCUAAUUGUUAGCUGUAUAUUUAGUAUAGUAAUUAAGCAGUGGAUUAUUAGCUGUAUAUUUAGUACAGUAAUUUAGUAAUGUAUAACUAGCUUCAUCUUAAUAAUUUAGGAGUGUCUUAUUAGGUUUAUGUUUAAUCUAAUAAUUAAAAAGCGAAUUUUUUUUUAUGAGUUUUUGGUCUGAUCUGGAUGUUUAUUUUUAUUACCGAAUUAAUGGCUGUAUCUUUAGCAUAGUAAUUUAGUAGUUUACUAAUAACUGUAUUUCAGUCAUUUAGUAAUGGAUUAUUAGCUUUAAUUAAAAAACGGAUUUUUUUAUCAGUUUUUGAUUAAGUCUGGAUAUUUAAAUUAGCGAAUUAAUGUCUGUAUAUUUAGCAUAGUAAUUUAGUAGCGUACUACUGGCUUUACGGUCAUUUAUGAGUGGAUUGUUAGCUUUAAUUAAAAAGCGGAUUCUUUUUUUUUAUGAGUUUUUGAUUCAGUCUGGAUAUUUAUUUUAAUUAGCGAAUUAAUGCCUAUAUAUUUAUUAUAGUAAUUAAAUAAUGUAUAACUGGCUGCAUCUUAAUGAUUUAACAAUGACUAAAUAUUAUCUUUGGCGGAAGACAUUAACGUUACUUAUUUAUUUUUCUAAAAAAAGAAAAAUUAUAACUUUUAAACUAAACUACCUACUUAUAUAGGUUUCGCGGAAAACCAGCUAUCCUAGUCAGUUUUGUCUUUCACUAACUUACCACAAUUCAUCAGAUAUCUUUACAACGAUAACCUGUUCGAGCUUUUAUAACCCUGAUCAUGGUAAGAUCACUAGGCUUCGGGUCUAAUACUAGAUACUUAUUCAUUAUUUAAUAAUUGCUUUAUCUGGGAUAUUAUUUUUCUUAAAGAAGUAAUCUCGCAUCUAAUAUUAACUUGCUGACCCAUUAUGCAAAAGGUACGCUCUCCUUCAUUUUUUUAUUUAAAUUUAAGCUGCUUAUAAAACUACUAUUUCAGAUAUUUCCCUUACGGUACUAAUGUUCUGUUGCUUAUCAUAUAUCAUUAUUUAGUCUUAGAGAAAGGUUUCCCUAUAUUCAAACAUAUUGUUUACGUUUUACUUUAAAGACUUUUAUAUUUCAUUUUUUAAGUGAAUAACAAUCUCAUUUGAUUUUUUUUCCUGAAGUUAAUAAGAUAUUUCAAUUCACUUCGUUAAAUAGUUGGAUUUAUCCUAG
This 5981-nucleotide ribosomal RNA is filed under the name Pseudocercospora fijiensis. RNAcentral describes it as "large subunit ribosomal RNA". The record is from RNAcentral. Lineage: Eukaryota; Fungi; Ascomycota; Dothideomycetes; Mycosphaerellales; Mycosphaerellaceae.